CGCGGGGUGGAGCAGCCUGGUAGCUCGUCGGGCUCAUAACCCGAAGGUCGGCGGUUCAAAUCCGCCCCCCGCAACCA
This 77-nucleotide transfer RNA is filed under the name Thermodesulfatator indicus DSM 15286. RNAcentral's name for it is "tRNA-fMet (CAT) (tRNA-fMet-CAT-1-1)". It matches the Rfam family "tRNA". From Rfam's summary of the family: Transfer RNA (tRNA) molecules are approximately 80 nucleotides in length. Their secondary structure includes four short double-helical elements and three loops (D, anti-codon, and T loops). Lineage: Bacteria; Pseudomonadati; Thermodesulfobacteriota; Thermodesulfobacteria; Thermodesulfobacteriales; Thermodesulfatatoraceae. The record is from RNAcentral. RNAcentral also lists the same sequence under 1 other name.